RNAcentral lists this ribosomal RNA (1274 nucleotides) under Salmonella enterica subsp. enterica serovar Agona str. SA-1. RNAcentral describes it as "bacterial LSU rRNA". It matches the Rfam family "Bacterial large subunit ribosomal RNA", at positions 1 to 1313 of the family's 2925-position model. The record is from RNAcentral. Lineage: Bacteria; Pseudomonadati; Pseudomonadota; Gammaproteobacteria; Enterobacterales; Enterobacteriaceae.
GGUUAAGCGACUAAGCGUACACGGUGGAUGCCCUGGCAGUCAGAGGCGAUGAAGGGCGUGCUAAUCUGCGAUAAGCGCCGGUAAGGUGAUAUGAACCGUUAUAACCGGCGAUACCCGAAUGGGGAAACCCAGUGUGACUCGUCACACUAUCAUUAACUGAAUCCAUAGGUUAAUGAGGCGAACCGGGGGAACUGAAACAUCUAAGUACCCCGAGGAAAAGAAAUCAACCGAGAUUCCCCCAGUAGCGGCGAGCGAACGGGGAGGAGCCCAGAGCCUGAAUCAGCAUGUGUGUUAGUGGAAGCGUCUGGAAAGACGCGCGAUACAGGGUGACAGCCCCGUACACAAAAGCGUAUGUGCUGUGAGCUCGAUGAGUAGGGCGGGACACGUGGUAUCCUGUCUGAAUAUGGGGGGACCAUCCUCCAAGGCUAAAUACUCCUGACUGACCGAUAGUGAACCAGUACCGUGAGGGAAAGGCGAAAAGAACCCCGGCGAGGGGAGUGAAAAAGAACCUGAAACCGUGUACGUACAAGCAGUGGGAGCACAGGUUUACCUGUGUGACUGCGUACCUUUUGUAUAAUGGGUCAGCGACUUAUAUUCUGUAGCAAGGUUAACCGAAUAGGGGAGCCGGAGGGAAACCGAGUCUUAAUUGGGCGUUAAGUUGCAGGGUAUAGACCCGAAACCCGGUGAUCUAGCCAUGGGCAGGUUGAAGGUUGGGUAACACUAACUGGAGGACCGAACCGACUAAUGUUGAAAAAUUAGCGGAUGACCUGUGGCUGGGGGUGAAAGGCCAAUCAAACCGGGAGAUAGCUGGUUCUCCCCGAAAGCUAUUUAGGUAGCGCCUCGUGAAUUCAUCUCCGGGGGUAGAGCACUGUUUCGGCUAGGGGGUCAUCCCGACUUACCAACCCGAUGCAAACUGCGAAUACCGGAGAAUGUUAUCACGGGAGACACACGGCGGGUGCUAACGUCCGUCGUGAAGAGGGAAACAACCCAGACCGCCAGCUAAGGUCCCAAAGUCAUGGUUAAGUGGGAAACGAUGUGGGAAGGCCCAGACAGCCAGGAUGUUGGCUUAGAAGCAGCCAUCAUUUAAAGAAAGCGUAAUAGCUCACUGGUCGAGUCGGCCUGCGCGGAAGAUGUAACGGGGCUAAACCAUGCACCGAAGCUGCGGCAGCGACACUCAGGUGUUGUUGGGUAGGGAGCGUUCUGUAAGCCUGCGAAGGUGGCCUGUGAGGGUUGCUGGAGGUAUCAGAAGUGCGAAUGCUGACAUAAGUAACGAU